Molecule: transfer RNA, 90 nt
Filed under: Dreissena polymorpha
Lineage: Eukaryota; Metazoa; Mollusca; Bivalvia; Myida; Dreissenidae
Rfam family: tRNA
About the family: Transfer RNA (tRNA) molecules are approximately 80 nucleotides in length. Their secondary structure includes four short double-helical elements and three loops (D, anti-codon, and T loops).
Source: Rfam by way of RNAcentral
GCCGGAAUUGCUCAGUUGGGAGAGCGUUAGACUGAAGUUGUUUCCGCAACAGUCAUCUAAAGGCCAACGGUUCAAUCCCGGGUUCCGGAA